RNAcentral lists this long non-coding RNA (545 nucleotides) under Monodelphis domestica (gray short-tailed opossum). Its description in RNAcentral is "lncRNA (ENSMODG00000038958.1)". The record is from RNAcentral. Lineage: Eukaryota; Metazoa; Chordata; Mammalia; Didelphimorphia; Didelphidae.
CCCAUGUUGGUGAUUGUUGAAACCAGCUGCAUUGUUUACAGAGAUCCAUAGCAAUUACUACACUAUUGGGAUAUAUUUUGUGUGUAUCAGAUGGAGACAAACCCAAGAGAUCGCUGGAGGUCCCAUGCCCUCAAUGAUCAGGAAAUACAGACUGAAGGAGACUGAAUGACUUGCCCAGAGUCACACAACUAGAAAAGGCCAGGGGGUAAUGGAGUAGAAGCUAUUCUGGUUUGGGGGAUACAGCCCAAUAAGAAGAUAUAACUCAGCUAUUACUUUGCUCGUUGACCUUGGGCAUUUCUCUGAAUAUUCUUCAAAUGGCAUCUGUAGUUGCUCUGAUUUCUUGGGAGAAAAAGCACUGUCUUCAGUCAAAAUGAAAAAUAGCUCAUUAGCACCAUCUAUAGCUUAGAACUUCAUAUACCUGAACAGUUUUAUAUAGCCAUUCUCCUUGUCCCUAUCUACACUUCUAGAGAAGGUGCCAUAUUAUGAAGCAUUUUUGCAAAUAGCAUUCCUUAUUUGACAGUAAAAUAAAACAAAACAGAAGCCCA